AAAGAUCCUGCAGAAAGUAAAUCCUGCUGAAGAUGCUCCCAUUCCUCAGGCAGAAGCUGAGGCAGAAACUGCACCUAGUGAAGUCAAAAUGGGGACUGGUGGAGUCAGUGUCUCAGCUCACUGUUGGGAGACCGCAAAGGCCCAGAAAACUGCCAAUGGGAUGGCACGAGUGCUGCUGAUGGGUCUUUUCAACACUGACAUUCUGCUGAGGUCCAACUUGACUGGCGGAAAGAACAAAGUUGAUCCCACUGCAGACAGACGACAAGCUCUUGAUGGGAAAAAGCUGCAAGCUUUACAAGAUGCUGUCCUAAAUCACCAUCCUGGGACCAAGAUA
Molecule: long non-coding RNA, 334 nt
Organism: Melanotaenia boesemani (Boeseman's rainbowfish)
Lineage: Eukaryota; Metazoa; Chordata; Actinopteri; Atheriniformes; Melanotaeniidae
Exons: 3
Source: RefSeq, a predicted model, not a curated record